GGGGAAGCCGGUGGGAAUCCGGCGCUGACCUGCAACCGUGAACGGGGCCGAAUGGCACCGUGAGUCGGAGUACCC
RNAcentral lists this non-coding RNA (75 nucleotides) under Streptomyces roseus. Lineage: Bacteria; Bacillati; Actinomycetota; Actinomycetes; Kitasatosporales; Streptomycetaceae. The record is from RNAcentral.